This 52-nucleotide microRNA precursor is filed under the name Equus caballus (horse). RNAcentral's name for it is "mir-1302 microRNA precursor family". It matches the Rfam family "mir-1302 microRNA precursor family". The record is from Rfam by way of RNAcentral. Lineage: Eukaryota; Metazoa; Chordata; Mammalia; Perissodactyla; Equidae.
UUUUUAGAAUAAGUAUGCCCCAUGCAACAUUUAGGACAUACUUAUAUUAAAA